CCCCACCCCCACCCCCACCCUGCCACAGCUUCGGGACGACUGGAUCGCCGCGCCUGGGCCGGAGCGAGCCAUCUGCGGGCACUAUGCAAAGCGGGAGACGGCGCGAGCGGCGCCCGGCUCACACUAGCUCUUCCAGGACGCAGAGAGAACCAUUCUCUGCUUUCAAUAGGACAGAAGAGCUCCUUGGCACUGGAUGCCUCCGGGUCUGGUUGAGAGAGGAAUGGUUAGGAGACUGUUCUGAGGAUACGCAGACAUCAUCCAAAGCUUCCUACAUUCAGAUGAGGACAGAGGUUGGGCCAGAGCUUUGUAAGCUUGUUACCUAAGGAUGGUUCUGACCAUGUAAGCAGAUCACAGAAGAGCCAGCCUUGACAAUGUGCUGAUGGCAACCU
Molecule: long non-coding RNA, 389 nt
Organism: Homo sapiens (human)
Lineage: Eukaryota; Metazoa; Chordata; Mammalia; Primates; Hominidae
Gene: PROX1-AS1
Product: PROX1 antisense RNA 1
Source: Ensembl